RNAcentral lists this transfer RNA (59 nucleotides) under Loxodonta africana (African savanna elephant). It matches the Rfam family "tRNA", at positions 8 to 63 of the family's 71-position model. From Rfam's summary of the family: Transfer RNA (tRNA) molecules are approximately 80 nucleotides in length. Their secondary structure includes four short double-helical elements and three loops (D, anti-codon, and T loops). The record is from Rfam by way of RNAcentral. Lineage: Eukaryota; Metazoa; Chordata; Mammalia; Proboscidea; Elephantidae.
UGGCACAACAGUUAAGUGUACUUGACUGCCAACCAAAAGGUUGGUGAUUCAAAUUCACC